GGGUCCACUGUGUAACGGUUAGCACUCUGGGCUUUGAAUCCAGCGAUUCGAGUUCAAGUCGCGUUGGAACCU
This 72-nucleotide transfer RNA is filed under the name Papilio machaon (common yellow swallowtail). It matches the Rfam family "tRNA". From Rfam's summary of the family: Transfer RNA (tRNA) molecules are approximately 80 nucleotides in length. Their secondary structure includes four short double-helical elements and three loops (D, anti-codon, and T loops). The record is from Rfam by way of RNAcentral. Lineage: Eukaryota; Metazoa; Arthropoda; Insecta; Lepidoptera; Papilionidae.